This 839-nucleotide ribosomal RNA is filed under the name Phaeoclavulina subdecurrens. RNAcentral's name for it is "partial large subunit ribosomal RNA". It matches the Rfam family "Eukaryotic large subunit ribosomal RNA", at positions 93 to 915 of the family's 3401-position model. The record is from RNAcentral. Lineage: Eukaryota; Fungi; Basidiomycota; Agaricomycetes; Gomphales; Gomphaceae.
GUGAAGCGGGAAGAGCUCAAAUUUGUAAUCUGGCGGUCUCAGGCCGUCCGAGUUGUAGUCUGGAGAAGUGUUUUCCGCGUCGGACCGUGUACAAGUCCCUUGGAACAGGGCGUCAUAGAGGGUGAGAAUCCCGUCUUUGACACGGACUGCCGAUGCUUUGUGAUGCGCUCUCGAAGAGUCGAGUUGUUUGGGAAUGCAGCUCAAAACGGGUGGUAAAUUCCAUCUAAAGCUAAAUAUUGGCGAAAGACCGAUAGCGAACAAGUACCGUGAGGGAAAGAUGAAAAGCACUUUGGAAAGAGAGUUAAACAGUACGUGAAAUUGUUGAAAGGGAAACGAUUGAAGUCAGUCGCGUCUCCCGGGACUCAGCCUUGCUUCUGCUUGGUGCACUUCCCGGGCCGACGGGCCAGCAUCAAUUUCGACCGUCGGAGAAAGGCUGGGGGAAUGUGGCACCUUCGGGUGUGUUAUAGCCCUCGGUCGUAUGCGACGGUUGGGAUUGAGGAUCGCAGCACGCCUUCAUGGCCGGGGUUCGCCCACGUAACGUGCUUAGGAUGCUGGCGUAAUGGCUUUAAACGACCCGUCUUGAAACACGGACCAAGGAGUCUAACAUGCCUGCGAGUGUUUGGGUGGAAAACCCGGACGCGAAAUGAAAGUGAAAGGUUGGGACCUCUGUCGUGGAGGGCACCGACGCCCGGACCAGACCUUCUGUGACGGUUCCGAGGUAGAGCAUGUAUGUUGGGACCCGAAAGAUGGUGAACUAUGCCUGAGUAGGGUGAAGCCAGAGGAAACUCUGGUGGAGGCUCGUAGCGAUUCUGACGUGCAAAUCGAUCGUCGAACUUGGG